GCCAGCCCGCUCAGAACUCAAGGAAUGACGGGGCCCGCACAAGCGGUGGAGUAUGUGGUUUAAUUCGAUGCAACGCGAAGAACCUUACCUGGUCUUGACAUCCCGGAGACCCUUAGGAAACUAGGGGGUGCUUCCAUCUGGAAGAAUCUGGAGACAGGUGCUGCAUGGCUGUCGUCAGCUCGUGUCGUGAGAUGUUGGGUUAAGUCCCGCAACGAGCGCAACCCUUGCCUUUAGUUGCCAGCAGUUCGGCUGGGCACUCUAAAGGGACUGCCGGUGUUAAACCGGAGGAAGGUGGGGAUGACGUCAAGUCCUCAUGGCCUUUAUGACCAGGGCUACACACGUACUACAAUGGCCGAUACAAAGGGCAGCGACACUGCGAGGUGAAGCCAAUCCCGUAAAAUCGGUCUCAGUCCGGAUUGGAGUCUGCAACUCGACUCCAUGAAGUUGGAAUCGCUAGUAAUCGUGGAUCAGCAUGCCACGGUGAAUACGUUCCCGGGCCUU
Molecule: ribosomal RNA, 501 nt
Filed under: uncultured Desulfobulbus sp.
Lineage: Bacteria; Pseudomonadati; Thermodesulfobacteriota; Desulfobulbia; Desulfobulbales; Desulfobulbaceae
Description: bacterial SSU rRNA
Rfam family: Bacterial small subunit ribosomal RNA
Source: RNAcentral